This 253-nucleotide ribosomal RNA is filed under the name uncultured bacterium. RNAcentral's name for it is "partial 16S ribosomal RNA". It matches the Rfam family "Bacterial small subunit ribosomal RNA", at positions 524 to 776 of the family's 1533-position model. The record is from RNAcentral.
UACGGGGGGGGCAAGCGUUGUUCGGAAUUAAUGGGCGUAAAGGGUUCGUAGGUGGCCGACUAAGUCAGACGUGAAAUCCCUCAGCUCAACUGGGGAACUGCGUCUGAGACUGGCCGGCUUGAGUGCAGGAGAGGAACGCGGAAUUCCAGGUGUAGCGGUGAAAUGCGUAGAUAUCUGGAGGAACACCGGUGGCGAAGGCGGCGUUCUGGACUGCUACUGACACUGAGGUACGAAAGCGUGGGUAGCAAACAGG